This 429-nucleotide ribosomal RNA is filed under the name Pseudomonadota bacterium. Its description in RNAcentral is "Proteobacteria bacterium partial 16S ribosomal RNA". It matches the Rfam family "Bacterial small subunit ribosomal RNA", at positions 355 to 776 of the family's 1533-position model. The record is from RNAcentral. Lineage: Bacteria; Pseudomonadati; Pseudomonadota.
UGGGGAAUAUUGGACAAUGGGCGAAAGCCUGAUCCAGCCAUGCCGCGUGUGUGAAGAAGGUCUUCGGAUUGUAAAGCACUUUAAGGUGGGAGGAAGGGCAGUAAGCGAAUACCUUGCUGUUUUGACGUUACCGACAGAAUAAGCACCGGCUAACUCUGUGCCAGCAGCCGCGGUAAUACAGAGGGUGCAAGCGUUAAUCGGAAUUACUGGGCGUAAAGCGCGCGUAGGUGGUUCGUUAAGUUGAAUGUGAAAGCCCCGGGCUCAACCUGGGAACUGCAUCCAAAACUGGCGAGCUAGAGUAGGGCAGAGGGUGGUGGAAUUUCCUGUGUAGCGGUGAAAUGCGUAGAUAUAGGAAGGAACACCAGGGGCGAAGGCGACCACCUGGGCUCAUACUGACACUGAGGUGCGAAAGCGUGGGGAGCAAACAGG